This is a small nucleolar RNA of Cynoglossus semilaevis (tongue sole), 182 nucleotides long. Ensembl annotates it as small nucleolar RNA SNORA81. The record is from Ensembl. Lineage: Eukaryota; Metazoa; Chordata; Actinopteri; Pleuronectiformes; Cynoglossidae.
AACUUCUCUAUAAAGCGCCCUGCUAAAACUGCUGGAACCGAACCUUAGAGUUUAGUUCAUGUGGAUGUGUAAGCAUGGGCACACCAGAGAAGAAGAGGAAAAAGCAGAGGGUUGAAAAGAGGCUGGGGGGACCUCUUUCUUAAUGUCCGAUGUCCUUUGUCUCAAGAUCCUGUGAAACAGUG